UUCCGGUUGAUCCUGCCGGACCUGACUGCUAUCGGAUUGAUACUAAGCCAUGCGAGUCAUUGUAGCAAUACAAGGCAGACGGCUCAGUAACGCGUAGUCAACCUAACCUAUGGACGAGAAUAACCUCGGGAAACUGAGAAUAAUGCUCGAUAGAACACUAUACCUGGAAUGGUUUGUGUUCCAAAUGAUUUAUCGCCGUAGGAUGGGACUGCGGCCUAUCAGUUUGUUGGUGAGGUAAUGGCCCACCAAGACUAUUACAGGUACGGGCUCUGAGAGGAGUAGCCCGGAGAUGGGUACUGAGGCACGGACCCAGGCCCUAUGGGGCGCAGCAGGCGAGAAAACUUUGCAAUGUGCGAAAGCACGACAAGGUUAAUCCGAGUGAUUUGUGCUAAACGAAUCUUUUGUUAGUCCUAGAAACACUAACGAAUAAGGGGUGGGCAAGUUCUGGUGUCAGCCGCCGCGGUAAAACCAGCACCUCAAGUGGUCAGGAUGAUUAUUGGGCCUAAAGCAUCCGUAGCCGGCUCUGUAAGUUUUCGGUUAAAUCUGUAUGCUCAACGUACAGGCUGCCGGGAAUACUGCAGAGCUAGGGAGUGGGAGAGGUAGACGGUACUCGGUAGGAAGGGGUAAAAUCCUUUGAUCUAUUGAUGACCACCUGUGGCGAAGGCGGUCUACCAGAACACGUCCGACGGUGAGGGAUGAGAGCUGGGGGAGCAAACCGGAUUAGAUACCCGGGUAGUCCCAGCUGUAAACUAUGCAAACUCAGUGAUGCAUUGACUUGUGGUCAAUGCAGUGCCGCAGGGAAGCCGUUAAGUUUGCCGCCUGGGAAGUACGUACGCAAGUAUGAAACUUAAAGGAAUUGGCGGGGGAGCACCACAAAGGGUGAAGCCUGCGGUUCAAUUGGAUUCAACGCCGGGAAUCACUAGU
Molecule: ribosomal RNA, 924 nt
Filed under: uncultured archaeon
Lineage: Archaea
Description: bacterial SSU rRNA
Rfam family: Archaeal small subunit ribosomal RNA
Source: RNAcentral